Molecule: ribosomal RNA, 488 nt
Filed under: uncultured bacterium
Lineage: Bacteria
Description: bacterial SSU rRNA
Rfam family: Bacterial small subunit ribosomal RNA
Source: RNAcentral
UUGAACGCUGGCGGCAUGCCUAACACAUGCAAGUCGAACGGUAACGCGGAGAGCUUGCUCUCUGGCGACGAGUGGCGGACGGGUGAGGUAAUACUUAGGAAUCUGCCCAGUAGUGAGGGACAACAUUCGGAAACGGAUGCUAAUACCGCAUACGCACUACGGUGGAAAGUGGGGGAUCUUCGGACCUCACGCUAUUGGAUGAGCCUAAGUCGGAUUAGCUUGUUGGUGAGGUAAUGGCUCACCAAGGCGACGAUCCGUAGCUGGUCUGAGAGGACGAUCAGCCACACUGGGACUGAGACACGGCCCAGACUCCUACGGGAGGCAGCAGUGGGGAAUAUUGGACAAUGGGGGCAACCCUGAUCCAGCAAUGCCGCGUGUGUGAAGAAGGCCCUAGGGUUGUAAAGCACUUUCAGUAGGGAGAAAAGACUUACGGUUAAUACCCGUGAGAGUUGAUGUUACCUACAGAAGAAGCACCGGCUAACUCUGUG